This 62-nucleotide transfer RNA is filed under the name Sinomicrurus japonicus (Japanese coral snake). RNAcentral describes it as "tRNA-Met". The record is from RNAcentral. Lineage: Eukaryota; Metazoa; Chordata; Lepidosauria; Squamata; Elapidae.
AGUAAAGUCAGCUAAACAAGCUAUCGGGCCCAUACCCCGGAAAUGCCACACGGCCUUUACCA